CCUACGGGUGGCAGCAGUGAGGAAUAUUGGUCAAUGGACGAGAGUCUGAACCAGCCAAGUAGCGUGAAGGAUGACUGCCCUAUGGGUUGUAAACUUCUUUUAUAAAGGAAUAAAACGAGGCACGUGUGCCUUUUUGCAAGUACUUUAUGAAUAAGGAUCGGCUAACUCCGUGCCAGCAGCCGCGGUAAUACGGAGGAUCCGAGCGUUAUCCGGAUUUAUUGGGUUUAAAGGGAGCGUAGAUGGGUUGUUAAGUCAGUUGUGAAAGUUUGCGGCUCAACCGUAAAAUUGCAAUUGAUACUGGCAGUCGUGAGUACAGUUGAGGUAGGCGGAAUGCGUGGUGUAGCGGUGAAAUGCUUAGAUAUCACGAAGAACCCCGAUUGCGAAGGCAGCUUACUAAACUGUGACUGACAUUGAUGCUCGAAAGUGUGGGUAUCAAACAGGAUUAGAUACCCCAGUAGUC
Molecule: ribosomal RNA, 460 nt
Filed under: uncultured bacterium
Lineage: Bacteria
Description: partial 16S ribosomal RNA
Rfam family: Bacterial small subunit ribosomal RNA
Source: RNAcentral